Molecule: transfer RNA, 73 nt
Filed under: Acropora cervicornis
Lineage: Eukaryota; Metazoa; Cnidaria; Anthozoa; Scleractinia; Acroporidae
Description: tRNA-Ala
Rfam family: tRNA
About the family: Transfer RNA (tRNA) molecules are approximately 80 nucleotides in length. Their secondary structure includes four short double-helical elements and three loops (D, anti-codon, and T loops).
Source: RNAcentral
GGCCUGAUAGCUCAACUGGAAGAGCACUGAACUAGCAUUCCAGAGGCCAGGGUUCAAAUCCCUGUUCAGGCCU